GACGAACCGAGCGAACGUUAUUCGGAAUCACUGGGCUUAAAGGGCGCGUAGGCGGGUGAUCAAGUCAGGGGUGAAAGCCCCCAGCUCAACUGGGGAAGUGCCUCUGAUACUGGUCGUCUCGAGGGAGGUAGGGGCGUGCGGAACUUCCGGUGGAGCGGUGAAAUGCGUAGAUAUCGGAAGGAACACCGGUGGCGAAAGCGGCGCGCUGGACCUCUUCUGACGCUGAGGCGCGAAAGCCAGGGGAGCGAACGGG
Molecule: ribosomal RNA, 253 nt
Filed under: uncultured bacterium
Lineage: Bacteria
Description: partial 16S ribosomal RNA
Rfam family: Bacterial small subunit ribosomal RNA
Source: RNAcentral